Molecule: long non-coding RNA, 356 nt
Filed under: Zonotrichia albicollis (white-throated sparrow)
Lineage: Eukaryota; Metazoa; Chordata; Aves; Passeriformes; Passerellidae
Description: lncRNA (ENSZALG00000016183.1)
Source: RNAcentral
CAGAAUAAAAGGGAAACUGCAAUCUUAUAAAUCAUCACGGAAGAGAGAGAAUAAGUGAUUGUCUGGGAUUGACUCUUGGGCAGAGCUUUGGAGAACUUCCUAUCUUUCAGGGUUUCCCUUGUUAGUUAUUCUUUAUCCUGUACUUCUUGUGUGGACCUGGACAAACAAGAGAAAUGGAAUCACAGUGAGGGGAAGAAGUAGGGAAUAACAAAGAUGACCACCCGAAAGCAGAAAAAGCAGCAGGAGAGGGCAACUGCAUGCAAAUCUAUUUUGCAUUGAGCACAUCUUGGGACUUACUCUGUGCUUCUUCUAGACCAUAUGGUAUUCCUGGGUUUCAUAUCACACACAAAGAAUAA